UUCUUUCUCUCUCAUCCUACUCUCUCUCUCUCUCUCUCUCUCUCUCGUCCUCCUCCUCUCCUGCGAACACUCUCUCUUUCUCGUCCUCUUUUUUCUUCAUAUUCUCGUUCUACCUUAGAUGCUGGGUUUUGUUUUUCGAUUUCUUUUGUUAACCAGCUUCCAAACGCUGCUCCAGUGGAAGGAAAAAAGGAAUUGUGUAUUUCUCUGUAGGAAUUGUCUCCUUUUUCUUUAUAAUCUUAGCGUUUCUUAUUAUCUGAUGGAAAUGCUGCUUCAGAAUCAGGACGAGGAGAUACGGUAAGGAAAGUUCUGGCUGUCUACCGUAAUGAUUGAGCAUUUGUGUAACUGACUUAAUUUUCAAAUAACAAAACAGAAGUUCUAUCUCAAAGGGAUAGCCUAGGAUUGUCAACUCACUGUGAUAGUAUUUUUCAUAGGACUUACAACCAUCUGGUUGUUGCAAGUUUGGAUAACUGCUGUUGAAUUGUAUUUAGUUCACUGGUAACAAAUUUAAGAAAAUUGAGAGAUACCGCAUUUAUGACCUUCGAGAGAAGGGUCAUGGACUUCUAUUUCUGCAUUUACCCUAUAAAGCAUAUGAUAGUUCCAUUUGUGGCUAACUUUUCUAGUUUGGGAUUGAGGGAAAAGAUGCCCUUAAUUUGCAACCUUUUACAAGCUUCGGCGAUAAUUUGUUGCAUUUUAUUUGAUGCAAUACGAGGAUUCUCAUACAUGCUGCAGGUGGUUGUUGCUAUUCUCUGCUAUUUGAUACAUGCAUCAUGGCCAAGUGUGCAACAGACUGCACCAGAAGACUGCAGACCACCACAAAGCAAACCACAAAAGUUCAAAGCUGCAACAACCACUCAAAACGAACAAGGAGUACCCAGUCUGACUUGAACCAACCUUACUUUGCUGGUCUGUGUAGUAAGCUAAACUUAAAAUAAUAGGACUCCAGGCAUUUGGAAAUUGUAACUGAAACUUCUGCUUGCCUGUUCUAAAAAAUCAGCCAACAUACCUUAAAGAUUUUAGUUUACUUUUACAUAAAUUUAGUUUAUUUAUAUAGAGAUUUAGUCUACUUUAAGAUAAAUAGAUAUUGGAGCUGAGGAAAUCAAGGCAGCUAGUGUUUUGGUCUUUGCUUUACUUUUAUUUAUUCUAUCUAAAAACACU
Molecule: long non-coding RNA, 1155 nt
Organism: Spinacia oleracea (spinach)
Lineage: Eukaryota; Viridiplantae; Streptophyta; Magnoliopsida; Caryophyllales; Amaranthaceae
Exons: 2
Source: RefSeq, a predicted model, not a curated record